CUGUAGGUGAACCUGCGGAGGGAUCAUUACCGAGUUUACAACUCCCAAACCCAAUGUGAACGUUACCAAACUGUUGCCUCGGCGGGGUCACGCCCCGGGUGCGUCGCAGCCCCGGAACCAGGCGCCCGCCGGAGGAACCAACCAAACUCUUUCUGUAGUCCCCUCGCGGACGUAUUUCUUACAGCUCUGAGCAAAAAUUCUAAAUGAAUCAAAACUUUCAACAACGGAUCUCUUGGUUCUGGCAUCGAUGAAGAACGCAGCGAAAUGCGAUAAGUAAUGUGAAUUGCAGAAUUCAGUGAAUGAUCGAAUCUUUGAACGCACAUUGCGCCCGCCAGUAUUCUGGCGGGCAUGCCUGUCCGAGCGUCAUUUCAACCCUCGAACCCCUCCGGGGGAUCGGCGUUGGGGAUCGGGACCCCUCACACGGGUGCCGGCCCCGAAAUACAGUGGCGGUCUCGCCGCAGCCUCUCCUGCGCAGUAGUUUGCACAACUCGCACCGGGAGCGCGGCGCGUCCACGUCCGUAAAACACCCAACUUUCUGAAAUGUUGACCUCGGAUCAGGUAGGAAUACCCGCUGAACUUAAGCAUAUCAAU
Molecule: ribosomal RNA, 591 nt
Filed under: Trichoderma asperellum
Lineage: Eukaryota; Fungi; Ascomycota; Sordariomycetes; Hypocreales; Hypocreaceae
Description: eukaryotic LSU rRNA
Rfam family: 5.8S ribosomal RNA (bases 213-366)
Source: RNAcentral